UGAUAGAGAUAGCCUUAGAUAAAGCACAAUUGGGGCUACUUCAGCCUCUAAAUUGAAACAGUUCUGCUUCUGCCGGAAGCCUCAUUAAGAGGUAUUUAAUAAAUAGUAACGGUGAUCUUGCAACCAGUCAAAUUAUUUUCUGGUUCCAUCUGCAUUUCUCACCCUUUCAUCAGGCUUCUUCCUGGAGGGUGAAGAUACUAUGGCACCUCCAGAUUUUAGCGAAAUCUGCUCAACAUUUCCGCGUCCCUAUGAUGGAUCAGAGGCAUUCAGAUCUCUGCAAAGACAUCAGAGGAGGAACACAAAAUGUGUCUGCGUUGAUGUCACUGUGAUGAUUUUCAGUGCACAUGAGCUCUAGGCAGCUUUCAUAUUUCUGCAGGUUGAUGACAAGGAAGAAUAUAUAAGUUGCAGAAAACAGAAACCAACUCCAGCUAGCUAACAUGAAAGGAAUUUAUUGAUGGGACAGUCGGGUCCUGAAAUCUGAGAGUUUAAAUAAUCAGCAUUUGAAUGGGCCAGAUCCAGGCAACUCCAGGGACCUCAGAAAAAGAAAACCAUGGACCUUUUUUCUAGAACACUGACAUCCGUAUUACUCAUUUUGAGUGACCGGCAGUGCCAGAUGGACCAGCUCUGGCCAGGAAGGUAGGGUUGUGUGGUUUACACAUGUUUGCUAGAGGCCCCUCCUCUGUAUCAGGGCCAGCAAGGCAAGGGGAGUAUUGGGAGCUAAGACAUUUUUAAGGCUUUAAUGAGGUGUCAUUGUCAUAUAAUAAACUAUACAUAUUU
Molecule: long non-coding RNA, 777 nt
Filed under: Ursus maritimus (polar bear)
Lineage: Eukaryota; Metazoa; Chordata; Mammalia; Carnivora; Ursidae
Description: lncRNA (ENSUMAG00000005735.1)
Source: RNAcentral